This 179-nucleotide non-coding RNA is filed under the name Gammaproteobacteria bacterium. RNAcentral describes it as "6S RNA". It matches the Rfam family "6S / SsrS RNA". From Rfam's summary of the family: E. coli 6S RNA was the first non coding RNA to be sequenced, but its function was unknown until recently. Lineage: Bacteria; Pseudomonadati; Pseudomonadota; Gammaproteobacteria. The record is from RNAcentral. RNAcentral also lists the same sequence under 2 other names.
GGUUCCCUGGGUUGUUUGCCAGUCUAUAUGUCCUCGACCCUUUAUGCGAAAACCAGGAGGUCUUUUAUCGUGGUCUGUGUGCAAGUCCGCUUCGGCGGGACGCCUGAAACCCGUUAGAGACCACCGCCUUGAACCGCUGGGUUCAAGGGCCUAUCAGACAGCGUCAACUUGGGGAACUU